GAACGCUAGCGACAGGCCUAACACAUGCAAGUCGAGGGGCAGCGGGAUGAAGCUUGCUUCAUCUGCCGGCGACCGGCGCACGGGUGAGUAACACGUAUGCAACCUGCCCGCCACAGGGGGAUAACGCUGGAAACGGCGCCUAAUACCCCAUACUAUCGCUAUGCUGCAUGGCAUGGCGAUGAAAACUCCGGUGGUGGCGGAUGGGGAUGCGUUCCAUUAGCUUGUUGGCGGGGUAACGGCUCACCUAGCCGACGAUGUCUAGGGGUUCUGAGAGGAAGGUCCCCCACACUGGAACUGAGACACGGUCCAGACUCCUACGGGAGGCAGCAGUGAGGAAUAUUGGUCAAUGGACGAGAGUCUGAACCAGCCAAGUAGCGUGCAGGAUGACGGCCCUCUGGGUUGUAAACUGCUUUUAGUUGGGAAUAAAAAGAGGGACGUGUCCCUAAUUGUAUGUACCAUCAGAAAAAGGACCGGCUAAUUCCGUG
RNAcentral lists this ribosomal RNA (485 nucleotides) under uncultured bacterium. Its description in RNAcentral is "bacterial SSU rRNA". It matches the Rfam family "Bacterial small subunit ribosomal RNA", at positions 31 to 507 of the family's 1533-position model. The record is from RNAcentral.